CAUCAGUCGCCGGGAGAGGCGGGCUAGACGACGGAGAUGUAGAGGGAGCUUCUGGCGUCGUAGGAGCAAGAGCUGGAACCUGAGCGGGAGGAGAUGCAAGAGGAGCUGGAGGAGGAGUUGCUGGAGGAGGAGAUGCGACGGGUGGAGGAGUUGCUGGUGGAGGAGAAGCGACGGGAGGGGGAGUUGCUGGAGGAGGAGUUGCCACUGGAGGAGGAGUGGCCGGAGGAGGAGAAGCGACUGGAGGAGGAGUAGCAGGAGGAGGAGCGGUGGUGGCUGGAGGAGGAGAAGUUGUGACUGGUGGAGGAGCUGAGACAGGAGGAGGAGUGGCUGCUGGCGGGGGAGUUGUUGUGGUGGGUGGUGCUGGUGUGGUGGUUGGUGGUGACGACGGAGCUUGACCUCCGACGCCGGCGAUGAGGACGAUGCAG
Molecule: long non-coding RNA, 425 nt
Filed under: Brassica napus (rape)
Lineage: Eukaryota; Viridiplantae; Streptophyta; Magnoliopsida; Brassicales; Brassicaceae
Description: long non-coding RNA (BNAP_LNC021973)
Source: RNAcentral